GCCUAGUUAGCUAAGUUGAUAGAGCGUCUGCCUUGUAAGCGCUAGGCCGCGGGUUCGAUUCCCGCCCGGGGCG
Molecule: transfer RNA, 73 nt
Filed under: Diaphorina citri (Asian citrus psyllid)
Lineage: Eukaryota; Metazoa; Arthropoda; Insecta; Hemiptera; Psyllidae
Rfam family: tRNA
About the family: Transfer RNA (tRNA) molecules are approximately 80 nucleotides in length. Their secondary structure includes four short double-helical elements and three loops (D, anti-codon, and T loops).
Source: Rfam by way of RNAcentral